This 1372-nucleotide ribosomal RNA is filed under the name uncultured bacterium. RNAcentral's name for it is "bacterial SSU rRNA". It matches the Rfam family "Bacterial small subunit ribosomal RNA", at positions 28 to 1381 of the family's 1533-position model. The record is from RNAcentral.
GAUGAACGCUGGCGGCGUGCCUAAUACAUGCAAGUCGAGCGAACGGACGAGAAGCUUGCUUCUCUGAUGUUAGCGGCGGACGGGUGAGUAACACGUGGAUAACCUACCUAUAAGACUGGGAUAACUUCGGGAAACCGGAGCUAAUACCGGAUAAUAUUUUGAACCGCAUGGUUCAAAAGUGAAAGACGGUCUUGCUGUCACUUAUAGAUGGAUCCGCGCUGCAUUAGCUAGUUGGUAAGGUAACGGCUUACCAAGGCAACGAUGCAUAGCCGACCUGAGAGGGUGAUCGGCCACACUGGAACUGAGACACGGUCCAGACUCCUACGGGAGGCAGCAGUAGGGAAUCUUCCGCAAUGGGCGAAAGCCUGACGGAGCAACGCCGCGUGAGUGAUGAAGGUCUUCGGAUCGUAAAACUCUGUUAUUAGGGAAGAACAUAUGUGUAAGUAACUGUGCACAUCUUGACGGUACCUAAUCAGAAAGCCACGGCUAACUACGUGCCAGCAGCCGCGGUAAUACGUAGGUGGCAAGCGUUAUCCGGAAUUAUUGGGCGUAAAGCGCGCGUAGGCGGUUUUUUAAGUCUGAUGUGAAAGCCCACGGCUCACCCGUGGAGGGUCAUUGGAAACUGGAAAACUUGAGUGCAGAAGAGGAAAGUGGAAUCCCAUGUGUAGCGGUGAAAUGCGCAGAGAUAUGGAGGAACACCAGUGGCGAAGGCGACUUUCUGGUCUGUAACUGACGCUGAUGUGCGAAAGCGUGGGGAUCAAACAGGAUUAGAUACCCUGGUAGUCCACGCCGUAAACGAUGAGUGCUAAGUGUUAGGGGGUUUCCGCCCCUUAGUGCUGCAGCUAACGCAUUAAGCACUCCGCCUGGGGAGUACGACCGCAAGGUUGAAACUCAAAGGAAUUGACGGGGACCCGCACAAGCGGUGGAGCAUGUGGUUUAAUUCGAAGCAACGCGAAGAACCUUACCAAAUCUUGACAUCCUUUGACAACUCUAGAGAUAGAGCCUUCCCCUUCGGGGGACAAAGUGACAGGUGGUGCAUGGUUGUCGUCAGCUCGUGUCGUGAGAUGUUGGGUUAAGUCCCGCAACGAGCGCAACCCUUAAGCUUAGUUGCCAUCAUUAAGUUGGGCACUCUAAGUUGACUGCCGGUGACAAACCGGAGGAAGGUGGGGAUGACGUCAAAUCAUCAUGCCCCUUAUGAUUUGGGCUACACACGUGCUACAAUGGACAAUACAAAGGGCAGCGAAACCGCGAGGUCAAGCAAAUCCCAUAAAGUUGUUCUCAGUUCGGAUUGUAGUCUGCAACUCGACUACAUGAAGCUGGAACCGCUAGUAAUCGUAGAUCAGCAUGCUACGGUGAAUACGUUCCCGGGUCU